Long non-coding RNA from Anopheles stephensi (Asian malaria mosquito), 1457 nucleotides. RefSeq lists it as uncharacterized. The record is from RefSeq and is a predicted model, not a curated record. The transcript has 4 exons. Lineage: Eukaryota; Metazoa; Arthropoda; Insecta; Diptera; Culicidae.
GUAAAAAUGUGUAAACAAACUCAGUUGGAGUUCAGAAAAAUCUUACUUAUUACCGAUAUGUGCAGUGCCGUGGAAUAACAAAAAUUGCUUCAAAAAAGCUGUGUGUGUGGCUGAUACUCCAGCAUCUUUCCAUGUGUGUAAACAACGCCAAGAGUAUUACUGUUUUGUGAUCAUCAUAUUUCAUUCGGAUUGCACAUUACCGGGCAGAAAAAGCUUCAAGCAACCAAUUUUGUACAGCAUCCGCACGCUGUAUGAAGGUGUAAAACAAAUUUUCAUCUGUAAGAUGCUCUUCAAACCUGUCCAGUGACUCUUCGUUGCUUAUAUAUUGCAUCGGGAUGGUUUGAGCAUUGCGUCGCACGCCUUUCAUCGGGUGUAUUGUGGCCACUACCGCAGCCGUUUGGGCAGUUCGGGCAUCCAGUUUUAAUAAUGAACAUUGUGAACAAAAAUCGUGCCCAGGACAAGUUAUUUUUGCUUGAAUUAACUCUGUGUUCUUAUUUACAUGAAUAGAUACGGUGGACGGAUGAAUGCUGCUUGCUGACGACUGCUCUUCGUGAAAUGUUGAUCCCGGUGAUGAAACACACGGUUCCGGUGUCAUGCUUGGUGACGGCUGACGGGAUCCUUGAUGCACGACAGUCGUUUUUGCCGGUCGCGCAACGUCAUGCGCGCAUGAACCAGCAGCUGAAGCAACAGACGAUUUCGGCGUCGCACUUGUAGUCGGCUGCGAUCCUCACAUUGGUUCGUCAAAUGAUCCUAACGAUCACGAAAUGCCAUCCACGGAUCCAGCAGCGGGAAUGACCGAUGGUACCGGCGUCGCACUUGUGGUCAGCUGCGAUCCAUACGAACGCUUUAACGACAUUGUCGCUAGUGGAACAACACGCACGGAACUAGAAGGCACAAGAAUCAUCCCACGUAUCGCUUUCGUUGAGGGCUGCGUUCCUCGCUUUUGUUCCAUCGAUCCUGCCGGACGCGUAGCGAUAUCCACGGAACCAGCAGUGAGAGCCGUAGAAGAUUCCGACGUUGCAGACGAUCCUGCCGGCCGCGGAAUGACACGCAUGGAACCUGCAGCGGGAACAAAUGCCGGUACCGGCGUCGCACAAGUGGACGGCUGCGAUCCUCGCUUUUGUUCCACCGAUCCUGCCGGUCGCGUAGCAAUAUCCAUGGAACCAGCAUCGGGGGCAAGAGACGGUUCCGGCGUCGGUCUUGAUGACGUUCGUGGUCCAAAAACACGGACGAUCGCGCCUGUGGAGCAUAAUAUAGCCGAAGGCAGUUGUUGCAGUGCAAAAAGGCGCCCUUUCUUUGGUGGUUCCGACAUUAUAUUUUGGCUGAAAUAAUCAAUCGUUUUAUUAUUUUUUAUGUGAAACUGCUGAGUUGUAUUUGAAUGCUGCACGCUGAGUGUUUAUGUUUUCAGCUGUGACUUACAAUAAAGGGUAACAAUCACACGCACAAUGCCUCAUUCA